Peromyscus californicus insignis is the source of this 3755-nucleotide long non-coding RNA. RefSeq lists it as uncharacterized. The record is from RefSeq and is a predicted model, not a curated record. The transcript is spliced from 3 exons. NCBI's taxonomy places the organism in Eukaryota, Metazoa, Chordata, Mammalia, Rodentia, Cricetidae.
UCAGUUCUUUGCAUAAAUCCCACUGCAGUACUUUGGUCCUUUUCUCAGCAUAUGAGUCCAGAAAUAGAAUUUUCUGUAGAUGCAUAAUAAUAGUUUAAGCUUUUAAAGUUGAGAGUGAUGGCCCAUGCCUGCAAUCCCGGCAUGUUAGAAGGCUGAGGCAGGAGGAUAGCAAGGACAGCCUAGGUUACAUAGCAGUACCCACUCAAACAAAAAAGAAAUCAAAACAAAACAAAACAAAUAUUUAGCCCCCACACUGAAAAGUCAAGAGCUUGCACAGAGCACUCCCAACCUCUAUUCCUUUUGAUAAACAGGAAGACUUGGUAGUAUAGAAAGUGUCCUCCUCCACAGAUGAGCUGCAGCUCAAUCAGGGCUUCCCCCAUAUGUGGCAAUGCACAUGGUCUCACCCACCAGCAGUGACACCUCGACCCACCCACUGGCUUUUAGACAAUUCUCAUUGCUAGCGUGGAGUGCAGGAAUGAUAGGGCCUAGACGGUGCAUUUAGCAUGCUCAAGUAACCACUUCUCAUCAGCACUCACAAGCCCUGAGACGGUUCAAAGAUUCUUAACACACAUUCAGAGUUAGUAAUGAGCCACACUGAAGGUGGGCAGGUGAGCAGGAAGUUGUGUUAAGGAUUCCAGUCAAGACCUCAUCACUAACGAAGAAGAUGGGUGUGAUUUCAGUCAUCAACAGAAAGCAGAAUGGAAUCACAGAACAGGCACAGACAUGGAUCUUCUUGAGUCUGAGGUAGGCAAGCCCAGUGAACAGCCUAGCAACCUGGGACUCCUCUUGGCUUAGGCUAAGCACAUAACCCCCUUUGAAUAAUGCCUAUUGCAGCCCCAAACCCUUACCUGUAUAUACUAACUAAGCACAUGCACCGCCCCGCAGCUCAACAAGGCACUUAGAAACCUAGGCCCCCCCACCUACAUACAGCUGCGUGCACACUCUACUAACAACAAUAGAAUAUGUUUCCUCUCCCCUUAAAAACCAUCAAACUUCGAUUCUACUCAGUUCUUACAUUCUAUACUGUUCUUACAGCUUGGGUAUGAGAGUGGGAAGGCCAAUCCAGCUGAACUGGCUUCAGGUGCAUGCUCAAUGAGGCAAACUACAUGUGCUAAGUAACUUCUGAGAGAAACUCCCUAUUUACCACCUUAUGACUAUGCAUAAUUGGGCAUGCAUAUGGUUUAAGUCAGCUGCAUUGUGGGAAAGAAUAUGAGAAGUAGAGAAAAGUUAUAAACUUAAUCUGCCAAUCAAAAUAAGGAUCUACCCACAGUAUGUUCCUUAGCAGCUAAACUCCUCCUCCUCCUCUUGAACCUCAUAAAAGAGGCCCCAAACCACAGUCUGGGUCCCUGAGUACCUUCACUCAUGUCCACAGUCAAUCUUAGUGGUGUAUUCCUUUCUGAUCUUUGCUUUGAAUAAAGUAUCAUUGAUACUUUGUAAUCUGUGUGCACCUUUAUUUCAUCCUUGAAUAGGACACUAUGACUCUGGAAACACCUGGUCCAGACUCUGACCACCAUUAACAGGUCUACUACCUCUUUUGCAGCCCACAGAAUAGAUCCAGCCUGAAGCAGGUCUAGAUGGCAAUCCAUCCUUUCAGGAGUAAAAGCAUCAGAGAAAAGCCACAGUGGGGGAGUGACUCCCAGGAUGUUUUAUGCUAAAUGCAGGCAUUUCUAUGCUGGAACCCUAGCCACUGCCAGAGAGAUGGUUUCUCCCUCUAGCCAAAAUUAAGAAGAUGUGGGGGCUGGGGAAAAGGACAGAGCUAUAGUUUUCUGAGAAAAUGGAACAACUUCACCUCUACAUGUCUGGAGUGAGAUUCAGGGAAAAGCCCCUAGGGUAUGGUUUAGAAAAAAACAAGACAAAACAAAACAAAAAAGCAACCCCAAACUCUUGAUACUGCAGUUUCACAGAGUAGAUCAAUAUUUCAGCUUAAAUGAGAAUUUACUGCCUUCAGAAAUGCAGACGAAGCUGUGCUGUUUCAUCCUGCUCUCCACCCAGAGGCCACACAGUGUUCCUGUGUGCUGACACACCAGCCUGGCCAGCAGAGCAGGUAAUGUAACCCCAGGUAACUGAAGGAGUAGCACCUUGUGCGAGCAGAGCAUGUCUGCCUUCUCCCGCUGGGGACACCUGGCUCACUGCUGUCACAGAGAGCACUCUUUGAACAUGCCCUUCUUUCAUCCAGGCUAACAGACAUCACAUCUUCCCAUCUCCCUUUAUUGGCUGACUUCCUUCCUUUUCCCUAACUUCUCCCAUCCAGGCACACUCUGCACCACGGCCUCGCAAGCACGCACUGAAGCUAUAGACCUGUGGCACCAAACGAGACUGUCGGGAAGAUCAAACCCGGACCUCAGGACAGGAACAGGGCUGUGGUUCCCGCUCUGACAGCCGUCUCCGUUUUCCUGGAGGGAGCAUCCGCUCCCACAUCCUCCCCAGACUUCCAAGGCACACAUAAAAAUUCGAUCCCUGCUUUCUCUUUACUUUUAUCUCUGCUGUGUGCUCUGGGGAGUUUUUACAAAACAAACGAACAUGAACUUCAAGGUAUGAGGAGUGUAAAUCACUGCAAACUCUCCAGGCCUCCAAAUGCUACAAACACUGCUUAGCCAAGGACCAAAGAAAAGCCCGAAUUAAAACCAGCUAGGAUUCUACCAUAUAGCUCCACUAACUUUUGUUUGUUUGAGACAAGCCUUACGAUGGAGGCCAGGCAUCUCUGAACUUGAAGUGAUCCUCCUGCCUCUGCUGCUGAAUCUUCUGAAAUUACAGACCAUCAUUCCCAGCUAAAGGUGUUUUGUCUGACUGUUUCCUGCUGACUCGCUGCAGCAUCAAGCAUUAAACCUAGGGCUUGUCAUUAUUGAUCAGCAUUCUGCUACUGAGCUUAUAUAAUCCCAGAUCAUUUCUUCAUGCUAGUAUUUUUCAGGUCAGCGUUUGUCAAGGACAACCAAGCUGCACUUGGAAGUGACCGUCCAGCUUUCCAAGGUACAACCAUCAACACACCCACCCUUCUGCUCACCUUCACUGACUGUCCUUUUCAUAGCUACCAGAGGGAACCCUCUUUCCCUUGGGCAUGGUGAUAAGCCAAUAAGGAAUGUCAUUUUUCCAGAGCAUGCUCAAGGAUGUCAGGUGGCCUCUCUGGACCACAGCCUUCAGAACUACAGCUCAGUAACUAACCAGCACGGAUCUGCAAUUCUGGGCAGUCACUUCCACUGGCUUCCCGCCCUUGAUGAUCACUGAGGCAACAGAGAUUUCCACCUGUGCUUUGCCUUAUCAGCUCUUCUCAAUGUGCAUUCUCAAAGGGCACACCCAGCUCCUCUUCAUCCUCAUCUCCCGGAGACAACUUAAACAGUGACCACAAGCAUCUCCUAAGAGCCAGACAGACAAGAGACACCAGCUGCUUUCUUGAAGCUCUCUGUGAACUGGGGGUGGGGUGAGGUGUCAUGUGAUUCAGUGGGCACUGUUUGCAUGUAUCACCGGUGUGAUUGAGGGGUAAGUAACAACAUCUUGGAGCCACAGACUCCUGUUGAGAUGUGGAUUGUUGUGAGAUAAAGUACAGUGUCCAUGAAGUGACUGGAAUGUGUUGGCUGCUUGACGCAGUAAGAAACAGCAAGCCAGGGAAUCCUUGGAAGGAUCUGCUCUGUUCCCACAUUUAGCUUUAGUCAGGGGUGAAAGAUGAGGGUUGAUGGGUGGAAGGGGGCAGCAAACUGUGUGCCAAUAAUAUCAAAUAAACUGUUGAUCCCCAAGAAAUAAAAGGUAUGUGGAUGGGCAAU